Long non-coding RNA from Hordeum vulgare subsp. vulgare (domesticated barley), 253 nucleotides. RefSeq lists it as uncharacterized. The transcript is spliced from 2 exons. The record is from RefSeq and is a predicted model, not a curated record. Lineage: Eukaryota; Viridiplantae; Streptophyta; Magnoliopsida; Poales; Poaceae.
UUAGUAGUAGUAGUAGUAGUAUUUCUUCGUCGUGUAAUAAGAGCUACAAUAUUGAGAGCAUUUGUAUGCUCGCGAAGAUAGUUAGAAGGAUCUUUGAGGGGCUGUCGAGGCCAACAAGACGACUGAGGUGUACGAAGUGGUGUAAUAUCCUAUUCAGUACUCACCAUAUUUAUCAUUAUGUUGUUUUAGAUGUAGCUAAGUUCGUUCGCUUGAUGUUUUUAGUUGCAAAUUUAUGGACUAAAUUCCUAUCGUC